RNAcentral lists this long non-coding RNA (753 nucleotides) under Callithrix jacchus (white-tufted-ear marmoset). RNAcentral describes it as "lncRNA (ENSCJAG00000051486.2)". Lineage: Eukaryota; Metazoa; Chordata; Mammalia; Primates; Cebidae. The record is from RNAcentral.
UUCAUUGGCUACUUAUCGAACUCCACUCUCCACUCACUUCCUGCCUCAGGGCCUUUGCACUUGCUGCUCUCCAUUUCUGAGAUUCUCAGCUCCCAGAUUUUCAUAGCGUUGACUUCUUCUCAUCCUUGAACUUUUAGCCCCAUUCACUCUACCUGUUAGCUUAUUAGGUUGUUUUAUUGUCUUCAAAGUGCUCAGAGCUCUGUAGGUUUAUCUGGCUUGUUUUUUUACUUAUUUCCUUUUUAUUUGCAUUUUCAACCACCAAAACAUUUAGCUGCAUGAGAUAAGGAAUCCUGUCUGUCUAAUUUACCACUAAAACUAUAGCACCUAGAAGGGCAUGAAAGGACACAGGGAGGGAUGAAAAAAUUGCUUUGCACACUGUAUUCAAUAUAGUCAUGGGCCAGACGGAGGUGGAGGCCAUGACCAUCAAUUACAAUGUCAUUGCUCUAAAUGAUUAAAAGAACUCUCAGCACUAAUUUUUCUAUUUUCCUUUGCUUUCCAAGCUGGGCACCUGUUCUUUAAGGAUAGAAGAGCAACCCCUGAACUAAGGUAUGAACACUUGAGGAGGACACAACGUCACUUGUAUAUCACUCCAGCCUGGAAUCCAUAAACUGAAUUUAUUCAUGAGGAAACACCAGACAAACCCAAAAUGAAGAAUAUCUCAAUCGGUAAAAAGAGACUAUUUUCUUCAAAUUUGUCUAUGUCAUAACAGACAAAGAAAGGUGGUGAAAAUCCACCUACCUAUCUACCUACUUA